Molecule: non-coding RNA, 148 nt
Filed under: Chlorocebus sabaeus (green monkey)
Lineage: Eukaryota; Metazoa; Chordata; Mammalia; Primates; Cercopithecidae
Source: Rfam by way of RNAcentral
GCCGGGUGUAGUGGCGCACACCUAUAAUCCCAGCUACUUGGGAGGCUGAGGCAGAAGAAUCACUUGAACCCGGGAGGCAGAGGUUGCAGUGAGCCAAGAUGGCACCACUGCACUCCAGCCUGGGUGACAGAGUGAGACCCUGUCUCAA